CUACACACGUCAUACAAUGGCCGGUACAGAGGGUAGCCAACCCGCGACGGGGGAAGCCAAAUCCCACAAAGCCGGUCGUAGUCCGGAUCGCAGUCUGCAACUCGACUGCGUGAAGUCGGAAUCGCUAGUAAUCGCGGAUCAGCAUGUCGCGGUGAAUACCGGUUCCCGGGUCUU
This 174-nucleotide ribosomal RNA is filed under the name uncultured Allobrachymonas sp. Its description in RNAcentral is "uncultured Brachymonas sp. partial 16S ribosomal RNA". It matches the Rfam family "Bacterial small subunit ribosomal RNA", at positions 1214 to 1382 of the family's 1533-position model. Lineage: Bacteria; Pseudomonadati; Pseudomonadota; Betaproteobacteria; Burkholderiales; Comamonadaceae. The record is from RNAcentral.